Long non-coding RNA from Oncorhynchus gorbuscha (pink salmon), 4153 nucleotides. RefSeq lists it as uncharacterized. Lineage: Eukaryota; Metazoa; Chordata; Actinopteri; Salmoniformes; Salmonidae. The record is from RefSeq and is a predicted model, not a curated record. The transcript is spliced from 3 exons.
UUGUUUACGUCAACGAUAAAGCGUAUACCUCCUGGCAAUAUAACUCGUUUGCCACUGAAAUUGUAAAUCUGUUGAAAUAUAGACAUUAUAAUACCUUUUCUCGGUUCCCCGCGUCCAGUUGUAUAGCCACUUUAGCCAUUUUCAUGGCAUUUUGAAGGGGCUUCAUUGCAACGCAGCGCCAACUGCGGCCAAUCAACGUUCCGGAUAUGCACUCCGGUCUGGUGGUUCUUUGAUGUUUAUUAUUUUCGUACUACUUCCGGGUUUUGUUGUUUACAAUAUAAACCGUUACCAGUUCGUGCUUAACGAUAUUGUGUUAUUGUUUAAAAGACUGUAUAUUUUACUAAACCACCAACGAAGUGGUUAAACUACAUAUGACUGAUAGAAUUUGAAGCGAAUAGUGUUCUCAUUGGAAGUCGCAGCUGCAGCUUUCAAACCAACUUUGGUAAAAAACAGCUUUCUGAAUAGCUCCCAUUUAAGGCUCAAGUUACUUUGAAAGCUACUGCUACAUUAUAUUGAUAGGAUUUUCCUUUGGAUCCUCCGUAUUCUCUUAGGACUGUGUUAUGAAGAAGAGAGUGAGGCGUGCGCGGUUUUCCGAUGUGGCAGCAGGACAGAGAAGCCAGACUCAGUUAGUUGUCGGGGUCAAGAAACAUUUUGGGCGGCGAGGAAGAACCAAUAAUAAUGCUGCAAAGAUAACUUCACCAUCAGUGACAGAUCUACAAUUUUACAAUUGAGCACAGCAGUGUCAGCUGUGGCGACAGAAGGGGAGGAGCGGCCACAGCAUAGAUCAAAGAAAUCCUGUGAUUCCCCUUCAAAAUUCUUGACAAGCAGUCUAGAUUUUGAGGUCAAUGAUUGGUUGUCAGGUGUUUUACCUCCAUAAGGUAAAGUAUCAGCUGUUAAACGUUCUCAAAUGCAACCUACUUCCUUGUCUGAUCCUACAGGUAUGGGCAGACUCAGCACUACAUUCUGUCAUGGAAAGUUCUCACCUCGGAGGCUGCGGCAUGCCUUCGACAAGUGGCCAGGGGAUCCAGACAGAGCCAGCCCAGUCGCCACUGUUUUUAUACAUAGACUUUCAGGGCCUAGUUGGAGUGCCACUUAACCGUGGUCCACGUCACUCAGUUUGUCUGCAAGACCUGCCACACAAAAUGCUACAAGUGCCACACAAUACUGCUCAUAUUUAUGCAGAGGGUUAAUAUCUUGCCCUCUGUGAAUGUGGGCACCAGAGACAGGUGAGAAACUGCAAGCAACUGUAAUGUCACAAUGUUGAGAGCGGCAAUUGCAAAACGAGGGUCAGCAAUGAGCUAGUCUGCAAAUCUGGCCCAAAACAGCAGUGAAACCAUAACAUGAUAUUGAUUUUGGUUUCAGGAAGAGUUCAGAGGGCUCUCAAUGAACGGUGGACCCCAUCUUCUUGUCACCCUCCAUCCCAAGUGUCUCCACAGCCUGGUGUCCUGGGCUCACCACCAUGCAGAGGACUGCUGCUCUUGCCCUGAGCUGAAAGAAGUGCUGGAGAGGCAGUGCUGGGGCUCAGUAAGUGCACGCUAGGGGUGUGUGGAUGAACAUAGUUACGGAAUGGACACACAGGCCACAAAGCCCAGAGCAAACCCUGGACACACUGAGAGUGAUCCCCUACUGGAAGGUGAGGAGCAGCUUCGAGGGAACCAACACCCUGUCAACACCACCAUGUCCCAGCCCAGUACAGCUGCCACCCCCCAGACUCAGAGCGCCGUCCACACUGAUGCUACCACCACCAGUGCAGAUGGUCAGACAGCUUUUGGUACCUCCAAAGUUACCCUGGAAACAGAACACUCAGUAUUUAAUUUCAGUGUUUACUGAAGUAUGGUCUUGACUGCAUUGAAAUGUAUGGCUCUUUGCAGGUGGUUACCAUCUUAUUGUCUGUUGCCAGUCCAAAUUAAUGUGUUUGACCCUCUUGUCCCUAGAAUUUCUCUUUGGUGAGGAGACACCCUCUCCUGCAUCAGCCCUGCUCAUAGACAGGCCAGGUGAAUCAACAAUGAAAAACAUGAUUCAAGUUAUACAGUGCUGGAAAGUUAAGAUUGGUUAAACUAUAAGCUGUUGUCUCAAAUCUUAGGAACGUGUCCAGCAAGGAUGUGUUUGAAGAGAAAAGGAAAAGUGUAUCCUCUGAAUUAUUUGAGCCAUACCUAGAGAAGGAGUGAGUGGAUUGAUGUGGGUUCCAGCCAGAGGUGACAUGCCCAUAGGGGGCACAAGCCACCUAGCAAUUUUAUGAAGCUGACUUUAGCUAGCCCAGAAAGGCUCCCAACCUCAACUAGCUACCAAGAUGCCAUUUCAGUCUAUCAAUCAAGUUAAGAGUAGCUAGCUUGUCUAUCUUAACUGGCAUGCCUAUAAAAGCAAGCAAUAGCUAAAUGUACUGAAUAAGACUGACAUUCUUUUCAGAAUUUAGCAGAGAAGCAUAUUUCGUUUUGUAGUUUUUUUUUUACCCAGGAUACAGACAGCUCAAGAGGUAUGCUUAGCUAUGCAGAUAAAUAUACAUUUUUCUUUACAAAGAAUUAAGCAUUUUGAGUGCAUGAUGCCCCUGGUUCUAGCUAUUUUGCAUAUCAAACCAAAAUUAUACAUAACACAUCAGUGGACAGAAAGAUCUCUAAUUACUAGCGGAAAAAGGGCAACGUGGCUUUAUCUUAAGUGUUUUCUUCCUUUUCCCAUGCCCUGCAGAAUUGCUUCCCCGAAGAAGAGAACCAGAAUAAAAGAAGCAAUUGGACUGAGGUGUAGUAUCCCAUGUUUGUUUUUGGUUUUCAGAGAGGAGAUGCCCAAUCUACAAAUGUCCGUAACCAGGCUGCUUAUCUGUAAUAAAAAGUCCUCCUUACAGCACUGUUAAUUCUCUUAUGACAAUGAACAGUUCUGUUUGUACAUUACCGUUUUGUGAGUGCGGUAGUGUCUCGGGUACAGAAACACUUUAAGGAGUACUAUGAAGAGGUCUGCAAGUGGCCCUGCCCUCACCAUAGGCUGCAACAAGGUCUUCAUCAUUGACUGCUAUCUGCAGCGACACGUCCAACUCAUUCACACAGUUGGGGAACUACAUCUGUGACCAAUGUGGUCAGACCUUCAAGCAGAGGAAAUACCUGUCUGCACCAGAUGUGCCACUCAGGGGGUUAAGCCACUACAGGGGGAGAGAUUAAGCUCAUAUCAGGUGGCAAAGUUCUGCUGAAUUGUGUUGUGAGGGGCUCAAGUACUGGUGAGUCUGUCAGGAUUUAGCCAAGCCUUUGAUUAUGUGGUAUGAUUUGGGUGAGUCUGUAAUAAUGGAAGGGAUGCAUAGGGGCACAAGAAUGCAAGCUUGUAUUUGGCACCCUCACUAAGCCUUUGUCUACUUUAAGAUGACCAAACAAGGCAGAGGCUGAUCUGGAAUUUGCAUGUGACCUAUGUGGGAGCGCUUUGAGAAGGCCCACAACCUCAACAGCCACGGUGCCUCCCCUCACACUAGCAGCUGUCAGAGGAAACAUUGACAGCCCCUCCAACAACCAACCAUCAGAGACUGGGGAUCUGAACCCAUACACCGGUUGAUAGACUUGAUUAGGUCCGUGACCGACAAGGAGCUGCAAAGAACACAACGUCCCUUGAGCCUCUAUAAGGAGUCUGGUAUAGAAUGGUCAUGGGUACAAUGACUAAUUGAACAGGACAUGGAAUCACUAGUCACUUUUAAUGUUUGUACUGUUGUACUCAUUUCAAUUGUAUAUACUGUAUUCUAGUCAAUGCCACUCAGACAUUGCUAGUCCUAAUUUAUAUAUUUCUUAAUUCCAUAAUUUUACUUUUAGAUGUGUGAAUUGUUGAAGUAUUAGAUACUACUACACAAGCAUUUCACUAUACCUGCAAUAACAUCAGCUAAAUAUGUGUGAGACCAAUAACAUUUGAUUUGACUUGUACUGUUCAUGCUCUAAACCAGGAAUAGGCAACUGACUGGGACCACAGAAAAAUAAACUCAUCAGUGGUGUAAAGUAAAAAUACUUAAGUACUACUUAAGUUGUUUUUGGGUGGUAUCUGUACUUUACUAUUUAUAUUUGACAACUUUUACUUCACUACAUUCCUAAAGAACAUGUACUUUUUACUCCAUUUUCCUCAACACAUUUUGAAUGCCAUCUGGUUUAUUUUUACUUUUGAUACUUAGGUAUAUUUAAAACCAAAUACUGGG